CCUACGGGGGGCAGCAGUGGGGAAUAUUGGACAAUGGGGGGAACCCUGAUCCAGCGACGCCGCGUGAGUGAAGAAGGAUUUCGGUAUGUAAAGCUCUAUCAGCAGGGAAGAAAAUGACGGUACCUGACUAAGAAGCACCGGCUAACUACGUGCCAGAAGCCGCGGUAGUACGUAGGGGGCAAGCGUUAUCCGGAUGUACUGGGUGUAAAGGGGGCGUAGAGGGUGCAGCAAGUCUGAUGUGAAAGGUAGGGGCCCAACCCCGGGACUGCAUUGGAAACUGUUGAACUGGAGUACAGGAGAGGUAAGCGGAAUUCCUAGUGUAGCGGUGAAAUGCGUAGAUAUUAGGAGGAACACCAGUGGCGAAGGCGGCUUACUGGACUGUAACUGACGUUGAGGCUCGAAAGCGUGGGGAGCAAACAGGAUUAGAUACCCCGGUAGUC
This 440-nucleotide ribosomal RNA is filed under the name uncultured bacterium. RNAcentral's name for it is "partial 16S ribosomal RNA". It matches the Rfam family "Bacterial small subunit ribosomal RNA", at positions 338 to 795 of the family's 1533-position model. The record is from RNAcentral.